Molecule: ribosomal RNA, 492 nt
Filed under: uncultured bacterium
Lineage: Bacteria
Description: partial 16S ribosomal RNA
Rfam family: Bacterial small subunit ribosomal RNA
Source: RNAcentral
AGUGAACGCUGGCGGUAGGCCUAACACAUGCAAGUCGAACGGCAGCACAGUAAGAGCUUGCUCUUACGGGUGGCGAGUGGCGGACGGGUGAGGCAUACAUCGGAAUCUACUUUUUCGUGGGGGAUAACGUAGGGAAACUUACGCUAAUAUCGCAUACGACCUACGGGUGAAAGCAGGGGAUCUUCGGACCUUGCGCGAUUGACUGAGCCGAGGUCGGAUUAGCUAGUUGGCGGGGUAAAGGCCCACCAAGGCGACGAUCCGUAGCUGGUCUGAGAGGAUGAUCAGCCACACUGGAACUGAGACACGGUCCAGACUCCUACGGGAGGCAGCAGUGGAGAAUAUUGGACAAUGGGCGCAAGCCUGAUCCAGCCAUACCGCGUGGGUGAAGAAGGCCUUCGGGUUGUAAAGCCCUUUUGUUGGGAAAGAAAAGCAGCAGGUUAAGACCCCGCUGUUCUGACGGUACCCAAAGAAUAAGCACCGGCUAACUUCGUG